This 611-nucleotide ribosomal RNA is filed under the name Bacillus sp. FJAT-17822. RNAcentral describes it as "bacterial SSU rRNA". It matches the Rfam family "Bacterial small subunit ribosomal RNA", at positions 59 to 651 of the family's 1533-position model. The record is from RNAcentral. Lineage: Bacteria; Bacillati; Bacillota; Bacilli; Caryophanales; Bacillaceae.
CAGUCGAGCGAAUGACGAAGAAGCUUGCUUCUUCUGAUUUAGCGGCGGACGGGUGAGUAACACGUGGGCAACCUGCCCUGUAGAUUGGGAUAACUCCGGGAAACCGGGGCUAAUACCGAAUAAUCCAUUCCCUCACAUGUGGGAAUGUUAAAAGACGGUCUCGGCUGUCACUACCGGAUGGGCCCGCGGCGCAUUAACUAAUUGGUGAGGUAACGGCUCACCAAGGGGACCAUGCGUAAGCGACCUGAAAGGGUGAUCGGCCACACUGGGACUGAAACACGGGCCAAACUCCUACGGGAGGGAGCAGUAGGGAAUCUUCCACAAUGGACGAAAGUCUGAUGGAACAACGCCCCGUGAGUGAAGAAGGGUUUCCGAUCCUAAAACUCUGUUGUGAGGGAAGAACAAGUACCAAAGUAACUGGUCGUACCUUGACGGUACCUCAUUAAAAAGCCACGGCUAACUACCUGCCAGCAGCCGCGGUAAUACCUAAGUGGCAAGCGUUGUCCGGAAUUAUUGGGCGUAAAGCGCGCGCAGGCGGUCCUUUAAGUCUGAUGUGAAAGCCCACGGCUCAACCGUGGAAGGUCAUUGGAAACUGGGGGACUUGAGUGCAG